This 415-nucleotide ribosomal RNA is filed under the name uncultured bacterium. RNAcentral's name for it is "bacterial SSU rRNA". It matches the Rfam family "Bacterial small subunit ribosomal RNA", at positions 355 to 772 of the family's 1533-position model. The record is from RNAcentral.
UAGGGAAUUUUGGACAAUGGGCGAAAGCCUGAUCCAGCGACGCCGCGUGAGGGAUGAAGGCCUUCGGGUUGUAAACCUCUGUUGUAAGGGAAGAAGCCACCGCAAGGAUGGUGACGGUACCUUACGAGGAAGCCCCGGCCAACUACGUGCCAGCAGCCGCGGUAAGCCGUAGGGGGCAAGCGUUAUCCGGAUUCACUGGGCGGAAAGGGCGCGUAGGCGGCUACGGAAGUCCGGCGUGAAAUCCCAGGGCUCAACCCUGGAACGGCGUCGGAUACUCCGUUGGCUAGAGGAUGGUAGAGGCUCGGGGAACUAGCGGUGUAGCGGUGAAAUGCGCAGAUAUCGCUAGGAACGCCGGUGGCGAAGGCGCCGGGCUGGGCCGAUACUGACGCUGAGGAGCGAAAGCGUGGGGAGCGAA